This 451-nucleotide ribosomal RNA is filed under the name Veillonella parvula. RNAcentral describes it as "bacterial SSU rRNA". It matches the Rfam family "Bacterial small subunit ribosomal RNA", at positions 28 to 457 of the family's 1533-position model. The record is from RNAcentral. Lineage: Bacteria; Bacillati; Bacillota; Negativicutes; Veillonellales; Veillonellaceae.
GACGAACGCGGCGGCGUGCUUAACACAUGCAAGUCGAACGAAGAGCGAUGGAAGCUUGCUUCUAUCAAUCUUAGUGGCGAACGGGUGAGUAACGCGUAAUCAACCUGCCCUUCAGAGGGGGACAACAGUUGGAAACGACUGCUGAUACCGCAUACGAUCUAAUCUCGGCAUCGAGGAUAGAUGAAAGGUGGCCUCUACAUGUAAGCUAUCACUGAAGGAGGGGAUUGCGUCUGAUUAGCUAGUUGGAGGGGUAACGGCCCACCAAGGCGAUGAUCAGUAGCCGGUCUGAGAGGAUGAACGGCCACAUUGGGACUGAGACACGGCCCAGACUCCUACGGGAGGCAGCAGUGGGGAAUCUUCUGCAAUGGACGAAAGUCUGACGGAGCAACGCCGCGUGAGUGAUGACGGCCUUCGGGUUGUAAAGCUCUGUUAAUCGGGACGAAAGGCCUUC